UACGUAGGGUGCGAGCGUUGUCCGGAAUUAUUGGGCGUAAAGAGCUUGUAGGCGGUUUGUCGCGUCUGCCGUGAAAUUUCGAGGCUCACCUCGAACUUGCGGUGGGUACGGGCAGACUAGAGUGUGGUAGGGGAGACUGGAAUCCUGGUGUAGCGGUGAAAUGCGCAGAUAUCAGGAGGAACACCGAUGGCGAAGGCAGGUCUCUGGGCCACUACUGACGUGAGAAGCGAAAGCAUGGGGAGCGAACAGG
This 250-nucleotide ribosomal RNA is filed under the name uncultured bacterium. RNAcentral describes it as "partial 16S ribosomal RNA". It matches the Rfam family "Bacterial small subunit ribosomal RNA", at positions 524 to 776 of the family's 1533-position model. The record is from RNAcentral.